GGAAGUGGGAUGUGGAGAGGGGUGGAGAGGACUCUGUGAAGAAAAGGUAGCUUUAAGUGAGAAGAGCCGCUUCCAGGCAGAGGAAACAGCUGCCCGUAGACCCAGGAGAGCAGUGUGUGGGAGCUGCCUAGGCUCCUUGCCCUGAAGCUGAGCUGUCAGAUGGGUGAUUAGUUCCAAGAGGGUGUGGAAGACCUUCCCUGUGUUUCUGUAUCACGGCUUUUGCAUUUAUUACAGGCACACGGAGUACUUCUUUCUUCUCCUGUCCCUCUGCCAGCUUUUAUAGGUUAGGCCCAGACUCUCUAAAGAAUUACCUGACUGUCUCAGUAAAUAUUUGGGGUGCAAAGUCCUGGAGCAUUGUCAAAACUCUAUGUGCCUGCUCCACCCUUCCUUCCAUUGAGGCCAGCGCAGGGUGGGGCAGCCCGCAGAGUGUGGGCAAGGAAGCUAUCCUUCACCUCCCUGUAAACAGGCUUAGACACAGAGACGCAGAGCAUCAGCCCUGGCAACCCCAUCCUCAGCAAACACAAUGAACGUUUUUUAUGUGAAAUGGGCCAAUUAAUGACUAUCUGUCUCCCUGACACAUAAAACAGGAACUGCUCGGUAGUGGACCUUCAAAGACCUUAUCACAGAUUGAACAUAAUGAAGAAUCAUAGUCUUGCAGGAAUAUGGGGACAAGAGAGGAUGGUCACGUCCCCAGUCUCGGUGAAGGGAACCUCUUUCAAUCCAGCAAAGACCCUGUGAAGAUGUGUCUGUGAACCAGUUCACGUGAUCCUUUCUUGGGUUGAGAGAGCCCUGACUGCCCCAAGAUAUAACUCUGUCCUUAGAAGACCAAAAAUCUGAGGGUAAAUCAUUGAGUUAAUAACUGCAUCUAUUAAAAAUAUCG
Long non-coding RNA from Bos taurus (domestic cattle), 880 nucleotides. Lineage: Eukaryota; Metazoa; Chordata; Mammalia; Artiodactyla; Bovidae. The record is from Ensembl.